RNAcentral lists this transfer RNA (66 nucleotides) under Cavia porcellus (domestic guinea pig). It matches the Rfam family "tRNA". Rfam says of the family: Transfer RNA (tRNA) molecules are approximately 80 nucleotides in length. Their secondary structure includes four short double-helical elements and three loops (D, anti-codon, and T loops). Further hydrogen bonds mediate the characteristic L-shaped molecular structure. tRNAs have two regions of fundamental functional importance: the anti-codon, which is responsible for specific mRNA codon recognition, and the 3' end, to which the tRNAs corresponding amino acid is attached (by aminoacyl-tRNA synthetases). tRNAs cope with the degeneracy of the genetic code in two manners: having more than one tRNA (with a specific anti-codon) for a particular amino acid; and 'wobble' base-pairing, i.e. permitting non-standard base-pairing at the 3rd anti-codon position. The record is from Rfam by way of RNAcentral. Lineage: Eukaryota; Metazoa; Chordata; Mammalia; Rodentia; Caviidae.
GGGGAUUUAGCUCAGUGGCAUAAGCACCUGCCUUGCAAGCAGGUAUGGUCUUGAGUUCAAUCCCCA